This 421-nucleotide ribosomal RNA is filed under the name uncultured cyanobacterium. RNAcentral describes it as "bacterial SSU rRNA". It matches the Rfam family "Bacterial small subunit ribosomal RNA", at positions 359 to 795 of the family's 1533-position model. The record is from RNAcentral. Lineage: Bacteria; Bacillati; Cyanobacteriota.
GAAUUUUCCGCAAUGGGCGAAAGCCUGACGGAGCAACGCCGCGUGAGGGAAGAAGGCCUCUGGGCUGUAAACCUCUUUUCUCAAGGAAGAAGAUCUGACGGUACUUGAGGAAUAAGCCACGGCUAAUUCCGUGCCAGCAGCCGCGGUAAUACGGGAGUGGCAAGCGUUAUCCGGAAUUAUUGGGCGUAAAGCGUCCGCAGGCGGCCUUUCAAGUCUGCUGUUAAAGCGUGGAGCUUAACUCCAUUAAGGCAGUGGAAACUGUUGGGCUUGAGUGUGGUAGGGGCAGAGGGAAUUCCCGGUGUAGCGGUGAAAUGCGUAGAUAUCGGGAAGAACACCAGUGGCGAAGGCGCUCUGCUGGGCCAUAACUGACGCUCAUGGACGAAAGCCAGGGGAGCGAAAGGGAUUAGAUACCCCUGUAGUC